AUGCUCGCUUCAACAGCACAUAUACUAAAGUUGAAAAUGAUACAGAGAUUAGCGUGGCCCUUGCUCAAGGAUGACACGCAAAUUUGUGAAGCGUUGCAUAAUUUU
This 105-nucleotide small nuclear RNA is filed under the name Tursiops truncatus (common bottlenose dolphin). The record is from RNAcentral. RNAcentral also lists the same sequence under 1 other name. Lineage: Eukaryota; Metazoa; Chordata; Mammalia; Artiodactyla; Delphinidae.